Molecule: ribosomal RNA, 1444 nt
Filed under: uncultured organism
Description: SSU rRNA
Rfam family: Bacterial small subunit ribosomal RNA
Source: RNAcentral
GAACGCUAGCUACAGGCUUAACACAUGCAAGUCGAGGGGCAGCAUGGUCUUAGCUUGCUAAGGCCGAUGGCGACCGGCGCACGGGUGAGUAACACGUAUCCAACCUGCCGUCUACUCUUGGACAGCCUUCUGAAAGGAAGAUUAAUACAAGAUGGCAUCAUGAGUCCGCAUGUUCACAUGAUUAAAGGUAUUCCGGUAGACGAUGGGGAUGCGUUCCAUUAGAUAGUAGGCGGGGUAACGGCCCACCUAGUCUUCGAUGGAUAGGGGUUCUGAGAGGAAGGUCCCCCACAUUGGAACUGAGACACGGUCCAAACUCCUACGGGAGGCAGCAGUGAGGAAUAUUGGUCAAUGGGCGCAGGCCUGAACCACCCAAGUAGCGUGAAGGAUGACUGCCCUAUGGGUUGUAAACUUCCUUUAUAACGGAAUAAAGUCGGGUAUGGAUACCCGUUUGUAUGUCCUUUUAUGAAUAAGGAUCGGCUAAUUUUCGUGCCAGCAGCCGCGGUAAUACGGAGGAUCCGAGCGUUAUCCGGAUUUAUUGGGUUUAAACGGAGCGUAGAUGGAUGUUUAAGUCAGUUGUGAAAGUUUGCAGCUCAACCGUAAAAUUGCAGUUGAUACUGGAUAUCUUGAGUGCAGUUGAGGCAGGCGGAAUUCGUGGUGUAGCGGUGAAAUGCUUAGAUAUCACGAAGAACUCCGAUUGCGAAGGCAGCCUGCUAAGCUGCAACUGACAUUGAGGCUCGAAAGUGUGGGUAUCAAACAGGAUUAGAUACCCUGGUAGUCCACACGGUAAACGAUGAAUACUCGCUGUUUGCGAUAUACAGCAAGCGGCCAAGCGAAAGCGUUAAGUAUUCCACCUGGGGAGUACGCCGGCAACGGUGAAACUCAAAGGAAUUGACGGGGGCCCGCACAAGCGGAGGAACAUGUGGUUUAAUUCGAUGAUACGCGAGGAACCUUACCCGGGCUUAAAUUGCAGAUGAAUUACGGUGAAAGCCGUAAGCCGCAAGGCAUCUGUGAAGGUGCUGCAUGGUUGUCGUCAGCUCGUGCCGUGAGGUGUCGGCUUAAGUGCCAUAACGAGCGCAACCCUUGUUGUCAGUUACUAACAGGUUCCGCUGAGGACUCUGACAAGACUGCCAUCGUAAGAUGUGAGGAAGGUGGGGAUGACGUCAAAUCAGCACGGCCCUUACGUCCGGGGCUACACACGUGUUACAAUGGGGGGUACAGAGGGCCGCUACCACGCGAGUGGAUGCCAAUCCCAAAAACCUCUCUCAGUUCGGACUGGAGUCUGCAACCCGACUCCACGAAGCUGGAUUCGCUAGUAAUCGCGCAUCAGCCACGGCGCGGUGAAUACGUUCCCGGGCCUUGUACACACCGCCCGUCAAGCCAUGGGAGCCGGGGGUACCUGAAGUGCGUAACCGCGAGGAGCGCCCUAGGGUAAAACUGGUGACUG